ACUAAGGUUCGAUUCGAGCGUUAGCGAGAAAGCGUUGCCGCAGGCAACGACCCGAAGGG
This 59-nucleotide small RNA is filed under the name Citrobacter sp. Cb002. Its description in RNAcentral is "RtT sRNA". It matches the Rfam family "RtT RNA", at positions 35 to 91 of the family's 130-position model. Rfam says of the family: This family represents a bacterial cis-regulatory element known as RtT RNA. The exact function of RtT is unknown although it is thought that it may be involved in changing the cellular response in relation to amino acid starvation. Lineage: Bacteria; Pseudomonadati; Pseudomonadota; Gammaproteobacteria; Enterobacterales; Enterobacteriaceae. The record is from RNAcentral.